CAUGGCACAUCCUUUGUCCCUUUACCCUGGGAAAGAAAACUCACCAGUCCAGGUUCCUGUUGUCUGUUUUAGGGCUACCUUCGGACUGUCUGGGCAGCACAAGUCUGAUAUGGGGACAGCUUCGGUCCGGGGUCCAUUCUUCGAUAUAUUGACUUUUUGCAGUGAGGUCCCAGCCCAGGGCCAGGGCCCCUGGGCACAUACUUUGGUCAUUUUCCCUUGGAAAGAAAACUCACCAGUCCAGUUUCCUGAUGUCAGUUUGUAGGGCUUCCUUGGGUCUAUCAGCGCAGUACAAGUUUGAGGUGGGGAAAAUUUCGGUUGGGGGUCGAUCGUUUGAUAUAUGGAGUUUUUGCAUUCAGGCCCCAGCCCAGUGCCAGGGGCCCCAUGGCACAUCCUUUGGCCAUUUUCCCUGGGAAAGAAAACUCACCAGUACAGGUUCCUGAUGUCAGUUUGUAGGGCUUCCUUGGGUCUAUCAGGACAGCACAAGUUUGAGGUGGGGACAACUUCGGUCUCGGUUCCAUCCUUCGAUGUACUGACUUUUAUGCAGUCAUGUACCACCCCACGGCCAGAAGCCCCUAGGCACAUCCUUUGGCCAUUUUCCCUGGGAAAGAAAACUCACCAGUUCAGGUUCCUGAUGUCAGUUUGUAGGGCUCCCUUGGGUCUAUCAGGGCAGCACAAGUUUGAGGUGGGGACAACUUCGGUCUGGGGUCCAUCCUUCGAUAUAAGGAUUUUUGGCAGUCAGGUGCCAGCCCAGGGCCAGGGGCCACUAGGCACAUCGUUUGGCCAUUUUCCCUGGGAAAGAAAACUCACAAAUCCAGGUUCCUGAUGUCAGUUUGUAGGGCUCCCUUGGGUCGAUCAAGGCAGCAAAAGUUUGAGGUGGGGACAAUUUCGGUUGGGGGUCGAUCGUUUGAUAAAUGGAGUUUUUGGAGUCAGGUGCCAGCCCAGGGCCAGGGGCCCCUAGGCACAUGCUUUGGCAAAUUUCCCUGGGAAAGAAAACUCACCAGUUCAGGUUCCUGAUAUCAGUUUGUAGGACUUCCAUGGGUCUAUCCGGGCAGUACAAGUUUGAGGUGGGGACAACUUCGGUCUCGGUUCCAUCCUUCGAUGUAUUGACUUUUAUGCAGUCAGGUCCCACCCCACGGCCAGAUGCCCCUAGGAACAUCCUUUGGCCAUUUUCCCUGGGAAAGAAAACAUAAAACUUCAAGUCCCUGUUGUCAGUUUGUAGGGCUCCCUUGAGUCUAUCAGGGCAGCACAAGUUUGAGGUGGGGGCCAAUUUAGUCUGGGGCACAUCCUUUGAUGUAUGGACUUUUUGCAGUCAGGUCCCAGGCCAUGGCCUGGGCCCCUGGGCACAUCCUUUGGCCAUUUUCCCCGGGAAAAAAAACUCACCAGUCCAGGUUGCUGAUGUCAGUUUGUCGGGCUCCCUUGGGUCUAUCAGGGCAGCACAAUUUUGAGGAGGGGACAGCUUCAGUCUUGGGUCCAUCCUUCGAUAUAAGUAUUUUUGGCAGUGAGGUGCCAGCCCAGGGCCAGGGGCUCCUGGGCAAAAUCGUUGGCCAUUUUCCCUGGGAAAGAAAACUCACCAGUCCAGGUUCCUGAUGUCAGUUUGUAGGGCUCCCUUGGGUCUAUCAGGGCACCACAAGUUUGAGGUGGGGACAACUUCGGUCUUGGGUCCAUCCUUCGAUAUAAG
RNAcentral lists this long non-coding RNA (1678 nucleotides) under Lonchura striata (white-rumped munia). RNAcentral's name for it is "domestica (Bengalese finch) lncRNA (ENSLSDG00000003966.1)". Lineage: Eukaryota; Metazoa; Chordata; Aves; Passeriformes; Estrildidae. The record is from RNAcentral.